GACGGGGGCCCGCACAAGCAGUGGAGUAUGUGGUUUAAUUCGAAGCAACGCGAAGAACCUUACCAGGGCUUGACAUAUAGAUGAAUACAUAAGAGANUAUGUAGUAUUUUUAAUACAUCUAUACAGGUGGUGCAUGGUUGUCGUCAGCUCGUGUCGUGAGAUGUUGGGUUAAGUCCCGCAACGAGCGCAACCCCUGUUCUUAGUUGCCAGCAUGUAAAGAUGGGAACUCUAAGAAGACUGCCGGUGAGAAAUCGGAGGAAGGUGGGGACGACGUCAAAUCAUCAUGCCCUUUAUGUCCUGGGCUACACACGUACUACAAUGGCCGCAACAGAGAGAAACGAAACAGUGAUGUGGAGUAAAACUUAAAAAACGGUCUCAGUUCGGAUUGAAGGCUGAAAUUCGCCUUCAUGAAGUCGGAAUUGCUAGUAAUGGCAGGUCAGCAUACUGCCGUGAAUACGUUCCCGGGCCUUGUACACACCGCCCGUCACACCAUGAGAGUUGGAGAUACCCGAAGCCUGUGAGCUAACUUUUAGAGGCAGCAGUCGAAGGUAGAGCCGAUGAUGG
Molecule: ribosomal RNA, 564 nt
Filed under: uncultured bacterium
Lineage: Bacteria
Description: bacterial SSU rRNA
Rfam family: Bacterial small subunit ribosomal RNA
Source: RNAcentral